This 555-nucleotide ribosomal RNA is filed under the name uncultured archaeon. Its description in RNAcentral is "bacterial SSU rRNA". It matches the Rfam family "Archaeal small subunit ribosomal RNA", at positions 321 to 879 of the family's 1478-position model. The record is from RNAcentral.
CCCUACGGGGUGCAGCAGGCGCGAAACCUUUACAAUGCACGAGAGUGUGAUAAGGGAACCCAAAGUGCUUUACUUAGUAAGGCUUUUACCAAGAGUAAAUAUCUUGGAGAAUAAGUGGUGGGCAAGACUGGUGCCAGCCGCCGCGGUAAUACCAUCGCCACGAGUGGGAACUAUAAUUAUUGGGCCUAAAGCGUCCGUAGCCUGUUUAAUAAAUUUCUUGUGAAAUUGUUGAGCUUAACUUAACAACGAACAGGAAAGACUGUUAAACUUGGGACUGGGAGGGGUUAGAAGUAUCUUUGGGGUAGCGAUAAAAUGUUAUAAUCCUAAAGAGACUACCAAUGGCGAAGGCAUCUAACCAGAACAGGUCCGACGGUGAGGGACGAAAGCUAGGGGAGCGAACCGGAUUAGAUACCCGAGUAGUCCUAGCCGUAAACGCUGCGAGCAAGAUGUUGCGUAUUCUUCGUGAAUAUACAGUAUCGAAGAGAAGUCGUUAAGCUCGCCGCCUGGGAAGUAUGGUCGCAAGACUGAAACUUAAAGGAAUUGACAAAGGAGCAC